UACGUAGGGUGCGAGCGUUAAUCGGAAUUACUGGGCGUAAAGCGUGCGCAGGCGGUUCGUUGUGUCGGCGGUGAAAGCCCCGGGCUUAACCUGGGAAUGGCCGUUGAAACUGGCGAACUGGAGUGUGGCAGGGGGGGUGGAAUUCCGCGUGUAGCAGUGAAAUGCGUAGAGAUGCGGAGGAACACCGAUGGCGGAAGGCAGCCCCCUGGGCUAACACUGACGCUCAGGCACGAAAGCGUGGGGAGCAACAGG
This 252-nucleotide ribosomal RNA is filed under the name uncultured bacterium. RNAcentral describes it as "partial 16S ribosomal RNA". It matches the Rfam family "Bacterial small subunit ribosomal RNA", at positions 524 to 775 of the family's 1533-position model. The record is from RNAcentral.